CAGCCGCCGCGGUAAUACGGAGGGUGCAAGCGUUAAUCGGAAUUACUGGGCGUAAAGCGUGCGUAGGCGGUUCGUUAAGUCUGUUGUGAAAUCCCCGGGCUUAACCUGGGAACUGCAUUUGUGACUGGCGAGCUAGAGUAUGGCAGAGGGGGGUAGAAUUCCACGUGUAGCAGUGAAAUGCGUAGAGAUGUGGAGGAAUACCGAUGGCGAAGGCAGCCCCCUGGGCCAAUACUGACGCUCAUGCACGAAAGCGUGGGGAGCAAACAGGAUUAGAUACCCCCGUAGUCCCUGUCUCUUAUAC
RNAcentral lists this ribosomal RNA (301 nucleotides) under uncultured bacterium. Its description in RNAcentral is "partial 16S ribosomal RNA". It matches the Rfam family "Bacterial small subunit ribosomal RNA", at positions 509 to 807 of the family's 1533-position model. The record is from RNAcentral.